CCUACGGGAGGCAGCAGUGGGGAAUAUUGCACAAUGGGGGAAACCCUGAUGCAGCGACGCCGCGUGCGUGAAGACGUAUCUCGGUACGUAAAGCUCUAUCAGCAGGAAAGAAAAUGCCGGUACCUGACUCAGAAGCCCCGGCUAACUACGUGCCAGCAGCCGCGGUAAUACGCAGGGGGCAAGCGUUAUCCGGAUUUACUGGGUGUAAAGGGAGCGUAGACGGUGUUGCAAGUCCGAGGUGAAAGCUCAGGGCUCAACCAUGGUACUGCUUUGGAAACUGUAGAGCUUGAGUGCGGGAGGGGUAGGCGGAAUGGAUGGUGUAGCGGUGAAAUGCGUAGAGAUUAGAAGGAACACCGGUGGCGAAGGCGGCCUGCUGGACCGUAACUGACGUUGAGGCACGAAAGCGUGGGGAGCAAACAGGAUUAGAUACCCCAGUAGUC
This 440-nucleotide ribosomal RNA is filed under the name uncultured bacterium. RNAcentral's name for it is "partial 16S ribosomal RNA". It matches the Rfam family "Bacterial small subunit ribosomal RNA", at positions 338 to 795 of the family's 1533-position model. The record is from RNAcentral.